Molecule: ribosomal RNA, 429 nt
Filed under: bacterium
Lineage: Bacteria
Description: bacterial SSU rRNA
Rfam family: Bacterial small subunit ribosomal RNA
Source: RNAcentral
GUAGGGAAUCUUCCGCAAUGGACGAAAGUCUGACGGAGCAACGCCGCGUGAGCGAUGAAGGCCUUCGGGUCGUAAAGCUCUGUUGUUAGGGAAGAACAAGUAUCAGUUAACUGCUGGUACCUUGACGGUACCUAACGAGAAAGCCACGGCUAACUACGUGCCAGCAGCCGCGGUAAUACGUAGGUGGCAAGCGUUGUCCGGAUUUAUUGGGCGUAAAGCGCGCGCAGGCGGUUCUUUAAGUCUGAUGUGAAAGCCCCCGGCUCAACCGGGGAGGGUCAUUGGAAACUGGGGAACUUGAGUGCAGAAGAGAAGAGCGGAAUUCCACGUGUAGCGGUGAAAUGCGUAGAGAUGUGGAGGAACACCAGUGGCGAAGGCGGCUCUUUGGUCUGUAACUGACGCUGAGGCGCGAAAGCGUGGGGAGCAAACAGG